GGGGUUGUAGUCCAGAGGUAGAGCACUUGCCUUGCAAGCAUGAGGCACUGGGUUCGAGCCUCAGCACCG
Molecule: transfer RNA, 69 nt
Filed under: Ictidomys tridecemlineatus (thirteen-lined ground squirrel)
Lineage: Eukaryota; Metazoa; Chordata; Mammalia; Rodentia; Sciuridae
Description: Spermophilus tridecemlineatus (thirteen-lined ground squirrel) tRNA
Rfam family: tRNA
About the family: Transfer RNA (tRNA) molecules are approximately 80 nucleotides in length.
Source: Rfam by way of RNAcentral